Molecule: long non-coding RNA, 2910 nt
Organism: Eriocheir sinensis (Chinese mitten crab)
Lineage: Eukaryota; Metazoa; Arthropoda; Malacostraca; Decapoda; Varunidae
Exons: 4
Source: RefSeq, a predicted model, not a curated record
AAUAUAAUUAUCUUGGUCUAACUUAUACUGUUUAUUAUACCGCUAUUCGCAGGAAUAUCUUUCUCUGCUCUGAUUGCAACGCUGCCUCGUUCAAAAAUCAUAACACCGCCGCGGCCGCCACGUUUACCAGCCGGAGCCUCAAAUCAUGUCCCUUUGUGGUGAUAAAGAGGACACAGCCUGGUGUGAAGCUACAUUUAUUACGGAAGGAUGCCAGCCGGGACCCGAACACUUCCAAUAUCAUCCAAGAGAAUGUGGCAGCUGAAGGGGGAGAGGCCAAGAAAGAGGCCAAGGGUGAAGACAUUUAGCCACCUCCCCUGAAGUACAUGGCAGCAUUCAACCUUCUCGGUGAGGUGCAGGAAUGUGCUUUCCAUUGCAGUGCACCAGCUCCAUGUACUGAUUUUGGGUGUGAACUUGAUGGGGUUGGAGGAAACUCGACUCAGCCAUCAAGCUCACCACAAUAUAACAUGAAAAGUGAAAAUUGCUGCACACAACAGUCUGCCGUCUGCACCAGGAGGCAAGGCAGCUCAAAGCCCAGGCUGUUACAACUCCUGGGCAGUUUUUGCCCAGAGCCAGCAAUUUUUUAGAUCCAAUAGGGAUGGAUUUUUUCUGAGGUCAGGUUCAACAUGCUGCAAGAUGCCAAGAUCUAAGCCUAGUAGGAGAUAUGGGUUACAAGAGAGGAGGUUUGCUCUGGCCUUAUACUAUCAAAGUCCAAAUGCUAAUAGAUUUCUGAGCACAGCAUUUCACUUGCCUUCAAUUUCAACACUUCACUCAUGACUCAGGGGUAUUUCAGUACAUGUUGGCUGGAGCAAACAGACUCUGACAGCCCUGCAGCAAAGAGCACAGGCUUUGUCAAAAGAAGAGAAACUUCAUGGGAUUUGCCAUUAUUUAGUAUUACUCUUGUUACGCCAAGAAUUUCUUUCCAUAUACUUUACCAAAUAUUGCAAGUAAUGCACCAUUGUUGGGCUUGCUUGUUAUAAAUCAGAUCUUGUUCAAUUAACAAGCUUUGGCUGUCUGCCACUUUCCAGUUGUAAUGCAAGGAAUCAUUUAUCUUCCCUGCUAGAUAUUACAUGUAAUGCACCAUUGUUGGUUUUGCUUGUUAUAAAUCAGAUCUUGUUCAGUUAAAAAGCUUUAGGUGUCUGCCACUUUCCAACUGUAAUACAAGGAAUCCCCUGCCAGAUAUCGCAUGUAAUGCACCAUUGUUGGUUUUGCCUAUUAUAAAUCAGAUCUUGUUCAGCUCACAAGCUUUGAACAUCUGCCAUUGUUUAUUUCAGGUGUAAUGCUUGGAAGCAUUUGUUCUCAUCCCUACCCAACAGUAUGCAAUGCUUUAUUGUGGAUUUUGCCUGUUAUAUUUAAUCUUGUUCAGGUAGCAAGCUUUUGGUGUCUGCCUUACCUAAUAUGUCCUGCAGUGACACUUGGAUUGGUUUCAUAAUGUGAAAUACAGCAUGUAAUUUCAUCACACUAAGUGUCUAUCAUCACGUGUCUGGCAUCAUUAAUGUGGCUUCCAGGAGUAAUCUUGUUUGUAUUACAGCUUGCAAAUUUUUUUCUGCUUUAUAUGAUAUACAUAAUCACAUAGGUAUGAUUUACAAAAUGUAAUGGCAGUUGAUAUUCUUGACUAAUGCCUCAUAAACCUUGUGAAAAAUAAUUGUUUUUUGAGGGGGGGGGGGGACAGAGAGUGGUUUGUUUGGUUGGCCAGUUCAAGGAGUUUCAUAUCAAAUGAUUUUAUUACAUCCAACUUUAAUGUGUGCUAGAAACAUAUAUUUUAUUACAUCCAACUUUAAUGUGUGCUAGAAACAUAUUUUAUUACAUCCAACUUUAAUGUGUGCUAGAAACAUAUUUUAUUACAUCCAACUUUAAUGUGUGCUAGAAACAUAUAUUUUAUUACAUCCAACUUUAAUGUGUGCUAGAAACAUAUAUUUUAUUACAUCCAACUUUAAUGUGUGCUAAAAACAUAUAUUUUAUUACAUCCAACUUUAAUGUGUGCUAGAAACAUAUAUUUUAUUACAUCUAACUUUAAUGUGUGCUUCCUGCAAUAAAUGCUACAUGUUUAUUGAUGUAGCCUAUGAAAUACAUAUCACUCUCUGCCCUGUAAUUUAAUUGGUGUGUCGCAUACUGCAGCAUAACUUUCCUGCUAUUUUCUUACACUAUGAGUUGCCUUAUUUUGUCUCAUUUGCUUUUAUCAUAUGUGCCUCCGUUGCAUAGUUGUGCCUACUGAGCUUAAUAUCUUCAUGACCCUAACACCAUGGUCAGAGCUUGUGAGAUCAUACCGUGUCCUACAUUCCAUUUUCACCUCCAGGCUCGCCUGUCUCCCAGGACCACCAAGUUAUUGCAUUCCAUUUAAAACAACUCAUGUGUUACCUUCUUAAUGUCCUCCAUCAUGUAUUUCAGCAUGUUUUAUGAUGCUUUGCUCUUAUAUUGAUGUGCCUUGCAACAUUUUUAUACAGUUUUCAUUGUAUAUAACGCACCAUUGUUGGUUUUGCCUGUUGUAAAUUGGGUCAUGUUCAGUUAACAAGCUUUGAGUGUCUCCCAUUGUUUAUUUCAGUUGUAAUGCUUAGAAGCUUUUGUUCUCUGCCCUGUCAAGCAGUAUGCAAUGCUUGCCAUUAUCUGGCACUUGUACAGUUAGUAUGAUAUUUUUACUCAGCUAAGAGUAUUUUGUAAAAGGUAAAGGCAAGGCUGGGGGCAUACGCUGUAGCAGUGCGUGGCCUCGGUGCUCAUCUCUGUAACAUUAGCCCAUGAGCCUGUGGUGUUAGGGAACCCAUUACCCUGGGACACAGGACCAGUGUGACAUCCGGGUUACCACAGUUGCAAAGGCAUUAUAGUAAUUUAGCAUGCAUAGAAUGUUGUAUACUUUGCUUGUAUUUAAAGCACUGGAUAUGUUUGCUACACACACACACACACACACACAUACACACA